AAGGAGCACCACGAAAAGCACUCCAAUUGGUGGGGUGCAAGCCGUGCGGAGUUCUCGUCUGUAGUGGGCGAGAGCUGGGUGCACAACAACAAGCAAGCCAGACACACUAUUGGGUCCUGAGACAACACUCGGGCGCUAGCGCGAAGUGUUGUCCCUCCAUCUUGGUGGUGGGGUGUGGUGUUUGAGAACUGGAUAGUGGUUGCGAGCAUCAACUGGAUGCGCUGCCGGCAACGGUGGCGUGUUCUUUUGUGCAAUUUUUAUUCUUUGGUUUUUGUG
Molecule: unclassified non-coding RNA, 276 nt
Filed under: Mycobacterium kubicae
Lineage: Bacteria; Bacillati; Actinomycetota; Actinomycetes; Mycobacteriales; Mycobacteriaceae
Description: partial 16S-23S ribosomal RNA intergenic spacer
Source: RNAcentral